AUUGAACGCUGACGGCAUGCCUUACACAUGCAAGUCGAACGGCAGCACGGGUGCUUGCACCUGGUGGCGAGUGGCGAACGGGUGAGUAAUACAUCGGAACAUGUCCUGUAGUGGGGGAUAGCCCGGCGAAAGCCGGAUUAAUACCGCAUACGAUCUACGGAUGAAAGCGGGGGACCUUCGGGCCUCGCGCUAUAGGGUUGGCCGAUGGCUGAUUAGCUAGUUGGUGGGGUAAAGGCCUACCAAGGCGACGAUCAGUAGCUGGUCCGAGAGGACGACCAGCCACACUGGGACUGAGACACGGCCCAGACUCCUACGGGAGGCAGCAGUGGGGAAUUUUGGACAAUGGGCGAAAGCCUGAUCCAGCAAUGCCGCGUGUGUGAAGAAGGCCUUCGGGUUGUAAAGCACUUUUGUCCGGAAAGAAAUCCUUGGCCCUAAUACGGUCGGGGGAUGACGGUACCGGAAGAAUAAGCACCGGCUAACUACGUG
RNAcentral lists this ribosomal RNA (486 nucleotides) under uncultured bacterium. RNAcentral describes it as "partial 16S ribosomal RNA". It matches the Rfam family "Bacterial small subunit ribosomal RNA", at positions 30 to 507 of the family's 1533-position model. The record is from RNAcentral.